GGUUAUGGGGGAUUUGUGGGGUUAUGGGGGGUCUGUGGGGUUUUGUGGGGUUAUGGGGAAUUUGUGGGGUUUUGUGGGGUUAUGGGAUGGUGCCGGUGCCGGCGUUGUACAGCCCCACAUCACCCCAUAACCCCACAUCACCCCAUAACCCUACAAACCCUCCAAACCCUACAAAACCCCACAGACGUGUCGGUGCCGCUGCCGCCGUCCUACAGCCCGCGCUACGUGGAGGCGGCCUGGUACAGCUGGUGGGAGAAGGAGGGAUUCUUCAAACCCGAGUAUGGGGUGAGCCGCCCUACAACGGCCCCACAACGGCCCCAUAACAGCCCCACAACGGCCCUAGAGCUGCCCCACAACGGCCCUAGAGCUGCCCUACAACGGCCCUAUAGCUGCCCUACAGCAGCCCUACAGUGGCCCUAGAGCUGCCCUACAACGGCCCUAUAGCUGCCCUACAACCCCCCUAGAACCGCCCUACAACGGCCCUAUAGCUGCCCUACAACGGCCCUACAACGGCCCCAAACAGCCCCACAACGGCCCUACAACGGCCCUAGAGCUGCCCUACAACGGCUCUACAGUGGCCCUAUAACUGCCCUACAGCGGCCCUACAGUGGCCCUAUACCUGCCCUACAACGGCCCUACAAUGGCCCUAUAGCUGCCCUACAACGGCCCUACAACGGCCCUAUAGCUGCCCUACAACGGCCCUAUAGCUGCCCUAUAGCUGCCCUACAAUGGCCCUAUAGCUGCCCUACAACGGCCCUAUAGCUGCCCUACAAUGGCCCCACAACGGCCCCACAAUGGCCCUAGAGCUGCCCUACAACCCCCCUAGAACCCCCCUGCAACGGCCCUAUAGCUGCCCUACAACGGUCCUAUAGCUGCCCUACAACCCCCUACAACGGCCCUACAACGGCCCUAUAGCUGCCCUACAACCCUUCUAGAACCGCCCUACAACGGCCCUAUAGCUGCCCUGCAACAGCCCUAUGGCUGCCCUACAACCCCCUAGAAUGGCCCUACAACGGCCCUAUAGCUGCCCUACAACGGCCCCACAACAGCCCUAUAGCUGCCCUACAACGGCCCCACAACAGCCCUAUAGCUGUCCUACAACGGCCCUACAACUCCCCUAGAACCCUCCUACAACGGCCCUAUAGCUGCCCUACAACGACCCCAUAGGCACCCCACCUCACCCCAUAGG
Molecule: long non-coding RNA, 1189 nt
Filed under: Phasianus colchicus (ring-necked pheasant)
Lineage: Eukaryota; Metazoa; Chordata; Aves; Galliformes; Phasianidae
Description: lncRNA (ENSPCLG00000016359.1)
Source: RNAcentral